AGAUAUGCUUUCAAAUCUUGGUAAUAUGAUGGUCACUCGAACCCGACUUCGUGAUCGGACUAAGCAUGAAUACUUGAAAGCUGAUUUGGUUGAACAUAUAUGGCAAAA
This 108-nucleotide small RNA is filed under the name Arabidopsis thaliana (thale cress). RNAcentral's name for it is "ATSL209200". Lineage: Eukaryota; Viridiplantae; Streptophyta; Magnoliopsida; Brassicales; Brassicaceae. The record is from RNAcentral.